CCCUUAGACACUCUAGGCGGCACGCGCGCUACAAUGGGUGGAAGAACGUGUUACUGCCUCCGAAAGGAGGGGUGAAUCACGAAUUCUUGCCCGUGAAUGGGAUAGUUUGUUGCAAUUUUCGGACUUGAACUAGGAAUCCCUUGUAAACAUGCUCAAGAAUAGCGUGUUGAAUACGUCCCUGCCGUUUGUACACACCGCCCGUCGUUUCUUCCGACUGAUACUCAUUGUGAGUUGCAAGGACCCUUUAUUGGGAAAUUGCUGCAAAUGCUUUGUAUUGGAGGAAGGAAAAGUCGUAACA
RNAcentral lists this ribosomal RNA (298 nucleotides) under uncultured eukaryote. Its description in RNAcentral is "partial 18S ribosomal RNA". It matches the Rfam family "Eukaryotic small subunit ribosomal RNA", at positions 1470 to 1796 of the family's 1831-position model. The record is from RNAcentral.